GGACAUGAUUAAUUUGACGUAUUUUAGCGUAUUUUGACCUCGGUACACUUGAUAAUUACUCUAAAAAUAUUUACAGUAGUAGAAACUCAUGAUUCAUUACUAGGGAUGUGAAGCCAUCGGAAUGGCAUCAUCAACAAUAGAGGAAGCAUUCCUAAAGGAAGCUGUGAGAAGAAGAAUUGGAGGAGAAGGGAACGCGGAAGCCGACGAGGAGGUGAAUGUUACCGAGACCGGAGAGGAAAGGAACGACGCCAACGAGGAGGAAAGCAGUCUGGGAGAUCCGGCCAUCGUCGUUGUCGAAGGAGGACGAUUUGGGGAGAAACGUAGGAGGAGUAACCGGGCGACCGACCCGACGGACUACCCGAGACCUAAAUUAUAAUUAUUAUUAAGUGGGUAUUUUAUAGUUUAUGUUUUUUAAAUCGGUUUAUUGAGUCGGUUUUAUUUUAUUAUAUAAGAGUUGUCCUGUCAAAAUUAAAGGGAUAUGAAAAUCAAACUUAAAUCUUGUUCUUCUUUGGAAGCAGAGAAACUCCGACGAACCCACAUUUCAGUUGAGAGAACCCAACUCUGAUCCAACUCGCCUCCUCCCCAACCUUCACCCGUCUAUCAUCUCCGCUAUUAUCAUGUACUCAAACUGUUGUUCACGUCCUGUUGUUCUGCAGGCCCGCUUCCAGCCAACUACAACUCCGAUCAGCAUCACGUCCGACGACCAACCCGUCUUUGUUCUUCGUCAUGUCUGGCAAACGAAUAGCCCUUGCGUUCUAUCGUUCCAGGGACAGUUGAUCUGUUCCAGGAUAAUAAUGGGUUUGGUUGCCGUUUAUUUAUAAUAUUAUAUUAAAUAAUGAAAAGAUUAGUUGGAAGAGGAAAGAAAGCAUUGGCAAAAGAAAGUCAGCUAUAAAAAGAACAAGUACACGGAGGAGUUCUACGACCGGAAGAGCCUUAAAACAAAAACUUAGACUCGCUAUUACAGGUUGUAGAAAAUAUACAAAAGCAGGUGAAUCAGCUAGUAAAAAAAAUAGUCUCACCCUCGACCAGUAAGAAAUCCAUUCCACUCUCAGAACAAGAAAAGCACCUAGAUAACCCGACCCAGAAAACUAUAGAAAAUCCUAAGUUCAAAGAUCCCACAAGCCACAGGAACCUUAGCUGCACACAUGACAGAGGGCAAGUACUCGAAAAAGUGGAUAAGGUGGGCCAAAACUAUCAGAAUAUAAAAAAGCACCUUUGACCCAAAAAACGACAUAGAAAUCCUACUAGGAGUCAAACAAAGAGAGAGUAAAAUCCUAAGAGAUUGUAUCAAGAGGUUCAACGAAACCCUUUAAAAAGUAGCAAAAUCCGAUGAGGAUUGAGGCUCACCAGGUUCCUUCUAAAAAUCACCACAAACUACCCAAGACCUUGGCCGAGCUGAUGAAAAGGGCUUAUAAAGCAAUGGAUACAGAAGAUAUGAUGGAGGAAAGGCUCAAAGAAUACAGGACCAACAAAAAUAAGUUUCAACCUGCAAAUUGUAGUCAGCACAUCAACAAUCAAAGAAACACGACACUACCUCCACCGCCUACCGAUCGAACCUGGGAAUUUACAAAAAAAAAAUCAAAAAGAGGUAUUUUUAAACUUGAAAAGUAGAGAUAUCAUAAAAACUCUGAGACAAGAAUAUUUAAGAAGAUAUUGGCAGAAGCUAUUUUGCAAGUCAUCUAUAGUCAAAGAUAUUUUUUAACCCAAAUUUCUACCAUAAGAUGGAAAGAUAAUAAAUUUCUUUAUGUUUUCAUUUGGACAUUGGUUUAUCAAUCUAUAAUUUUUAUUGCAGCGAUCCUAAAAAUCGGAUGAAUGUUAUAUAUACGAAGAGGCUUUUGCAAAUGUUCUUGAUAUGCUUAUUGUCGAUGAUACCAAAUUAAAGGUUAAGGUAUUUGGAGACAUGUGCAUUUAUAAGAAUAAAGAAGGAAGAUUUGGAUCUCCAUAAGCAAAUUCAAUGGUUGGAACACACAAACCAUUGGAAUUGUGGCUUUUAUUUGCAAUUUCAUAGAAAAAGUCAAAAUAAGUUUGGUGUGGUUCGACUAGAUAACCUUGUCUAAUCCUAGUCUACGAUGACAAGCUACGAUGUUACAGUAAUUGAAGCAAUCCUAGUCUAAUCUCCAGUAAUUGAAGAAGCAUUUAAUAAUUCACCAGAGAUUAAAAAGCUAAUUGAAGCAGAUUCCGGUCAACAUCUGAUUUAGAAGAGUCUGAAGAAAUUACAGGUUCUGUCCAAGCAGAAGAAAUUACAGAGGAAGAAGAGUGUUAUUGAUGAGAAAAAAGGAUUAGAAGAAAAUCGUCCUAUCAGAGUCCGACGUAUGCUAGAGAGGUACAAUGAUUUCCACAUGUCGACCAAGUAAGUAAAAUAGGAAUUAAUAUAUUGUAAUUUGUAAUUUCACAUCUUCAGUUAGUUGCCUUUUCCAUUUUCGCACAACUUUUUUCGCGCCACAUUUUACAUGGCGGAUGUCCGCCAUCUUAUAAUUUUCAGUCCCGCGAAAUUUUUCAGAUUAGAUGGCGGAAAUCCGCCAUUUAUAUUUUUUUGGUGGAAAAUGAGGAUGAACAAUAGAUAACGGUCUUUAGAUGACAGUUAUGAAGUUAUAAUGGCGGUGGUCGUUAUGGCGGUCUUUAGAUGGCGGAUUUCCGCCAUUGAUCCACCAUCUAAAGACCGCCAUACAAGGUCUUAUUUCUUGUAGUGUCAGUUAGUAGUCUUUAACUUCUACACAAACAUGUAACUCCCUAUAUAUAGGGCACCUCAUGUAAUUUUGAAGGCUAUCAAUAAAGUUCAAAGAAUUUCCCUAUGGAAUCAGAGGGUCAUUUAUUGCGCUUUCUCAUUUUUUUUCCAGAAUUUGAUUUUCAUUCAUCCUGUCUCGUUACGAAUUCAUCUCCAAGACUCCUCCAUGGUUCUUGUGUGACAAGUUCCGUCUCCGUUCUCAUCUUCAUUCUAGAGCAUCAAAUUUUAUCACGGAUUCUUCAUAGCUACUUAUACGACCGAAAUCAAAUCUCUACUGUGAAGCAAUAUCACCUGUAGUUUUGGUGUGUCCCAGAUCCGAGAAUUAACUCACGGAUUUCCAAAACAGAGUACGGCGGAGCUAGACUCCUGAUAUUGAGUCUUAGCGUCCAAAAUCAUUUGUUGUUAAGCAGAUUUGGUCAAGGCUCAAUUCGGUAACGGAAGGAAAAGGAUGAUCGUCUAGCGAGAUCAGAAACGCAAGGAUCGGAUGGGGUGACCGGACGAGCACGAGAUGGGAUGGCCGUACUCGACAGUUUGUCGGAAUGUGAUCGGGAUCGGGAGGAGAAUUGAUUUACUUUAUUGAAAAUUAAUUAAAAUGUUUUACAACCCAAAUUCUUUUUAACCUAUUACAACAUUUAAUAAAAAUGAAAUUACUUAGGUCCUUUUAUCAAUAUUCCCCAUAACUUGAAUUAGGGUAAAAUCCCUAAUUGGAAAUCACGCGUCCAGAUGAGCACACGACUCACUCGCGAGCUUCUUCGGAUUGAACCCGGUCCGACGUCGUUGAACGAACUUCGCUCGUCGUCGGCAAUUUCCAGUUCUCGAUUUAGGUCACCGGCGAUCCCUAUCUCUCUGAUCUUCUCAACGUCUGCUUCUAUGCCAACCUUGUCAACUUGCAUCACAUCAUCACCUACCUGUUCAAAUUCGACAUUGCCCUCAAUGUUGAUAGAAGGGAAAUGCUCAUACACAUCAUCUUCAAACUCCAAUGAUGAGUCCUCUGGAAUCGUUCCACUCCAUUUGAUGAGUAAUUGUUUCUUUCCUUUGCCUCCUUGCUGAAUUGUUCUUCUACCUAAUAUAUAGAUAGGAUGUAUUAUAGGAUUAUUGCUCACAGAUAUUAAUGGUUGAUUUUUGCUCUCUUGCUCUGCAUUUGUUCCACAUAAUUUCUUCAAUUUAGACACAUGAAAAGCUGGAUGUAUUUUACAGCCUUCAGGAAGCUUGAGUCUUUUAGCCACUUCGUUAAUUUUUUUGCUUACUUCACAAGGACCGAAGUAUUUUUUACAGAAUUUGUUGUGCAAUCUCUGAGCCACCGAACCUUGUCUAUAUGGUUUUAUUUGGACUAAAACCCAAUCAUGCUCCUUGUAUGAUACCUCUGAUCUUUUUUUAUCGGCCUGAUUUUUCAUUCUACUCUGUGCCAUAUUCAGAUUUUUCUUUAUUUUUUCUAAGGUCUAGCUCUUCUUUGAUUUGUAACAUUUUAUCUACUGCUUGCACUGAUGAUUCACCCUCCUUGUAGUGAGGUAUCUCAUUUGCCCCCUUCCAUAAAGCACUUUGUAUGGUGUUAAGCCCAAGAUAAAUGAAAACUUGAGUUAUACCAUAACUCUGCCCAAUGCAACAAUUUUAGCCAUAAACUAGGAUUUUAUGGCAAUAUGAUCUUAGGUACAUUUCUAGGGUCAUGUUGACUACCUCAGUCUGUCCAUCUGAUUGUGGAUGAUAAGCUGAUGAGAAAUUAAGUUUAGUGCCACUAAGCUUGUUCAAUUCUUUCCAAAAUCGUGAUGUAAAAACUCUUUGUCUGAUACAAUUGAGGUAGGAAUACCAUGCAGUUUCACUAUGUCCUGAAUAAAUAGUUCAGCCACUAUAGAUGCAUUAAAAUUUGGGGGAAGUGGGCUAAAAUGGGAAUACUUGGAUAAUCUAUCCACCACUACAAUAAUUACUGAUUUUCCCCUUGCUUUGGGAAGUUCAGUUAUAAAAUCCAUGCUAAUAUCUUGCCAAACAUUUGAGGGUAUAGGAAGUGGCAUCAAUAAGCCUACCAUUUUAGUAUUUGAACAUUUUACCUGUUGGCACGCUAAACAUUCUUUCACAUAUUUUUUUAUUUGUACGCUCAUAUUUGGCCAAAAGAAGUAUUUGGCAACCCUUUUACAGGUUCUAUGAAUUCCAAACUAUGAGUCAUGUGUUGGAUCGAGAUCCGAGGCUAUAAGGGGGAUAAUAGCCUCUUUUCGAUUUAUGCAGAUUAAUAACGGAAUUACCUGCACACAUUUAAGUACAUAAAUGGUUGUAUAAUAAUAAUAGUAUAAUAUUGUUAGCAAUAUAAUACUAUUAUAUGAUUUUAAAUAAUAUAAUAUUAUAUCUUAUAAUAUUAUAUAUAUUGGACUUGCCUUUUGCUCUUGAAGUUUACUACAGUAUGUGAAUACGUAGUCAACUUUUCAGAUGGUGUUUUAUAAACAACUAUAGUAUAUGAAUACUAAGUUAUAUUAUAAACACAAGUUAUAUUAUAGAGUAAAUGACCAGAUAACUGGAUAUAUAUUUGAUAAGCAAGAUAUGACCAGAUAAUUGGAUAUAUAUAUGAUAAGUAAAUGCUUGAACAAAUAUAUGAAUAAAGAUUUAAAGCAAUGAAUAUAACCUCAGAUAGUUGACCAGAUAACUGGAUGAGGGAUCUGCGUAAAGUAGUCAACCUCUGUAUUUGACCAGAUAACUGGAAGAGAGAUCCUUUUCAAUUAAGUGUUGUUUAGUUGUUUUUAGAUGAAAGAUAAAAACUAAAGUUAACAAAGAACAACACAAGAGAUUUAUACUGGUUCAUCCAAACAAGGGCUAAUCCAGUCCCGAUCAACUGUCGGAAUUCACUCGCCUAAAGGUUAUGGCAAAAUCUUAGAGUAUCAAGGAAACUCUUAAGAACCUCUCUAAGCUUUAAGGCUACUUCGCUUAGAAACCAGUCUUUUACGGGUAGACUCAAACCUUAGAGUAUCAAGGGCACUCUUAAGAACCUCUAACUUUUGCGGGUAAGUUAGUACCUUAGAGUAUCAAGGAACUCUUAAAAACCUCUCUAAGCUGUAAGGCUAACUUCGCUUAGGAACCAGUCUUUUACGGGUAGACUCACACCUUAGAGUAUCAAGGGCACUCUUAAGAACCUCUAACUUUUGCGGGUAAGUUAGUACCUUAGAGUAUCAAGGAACUCUUAAAAACCUCUCUAAGCUGUAAGGCUAGCUUCGCUUAGGAACCAGUCUUUUACGGGUAGACUCACACCUUAGAGUAUCAAGGGCACUUUUAAGAACCUCUAACUUUUACGGGUAAGUUAGUACCUUAGAGUAUCAAUGAACUCUUAAAAACCUAAAAAUCUUUCAAGGUAGAUUCGACCUAAGAGUUUUCCCGGAAACUCUAUAAAACCAAACUAGAGCUUUAUGGUUGAGCUCGAAAACCUUCUCUCACACUUUGGUACUAUUGAGACAACUCUCUCAACCAAAGUGGACACACACAAGAGGUGAUUAAAGGAGUGGAAUAUUAAAGAAAACAACACUUCUUACUUGUAAAGAUGAACAAGAAUAUUAGAAGAAGAAGUUGGAGAACUUUUGAAGCUUUGGAAAGCUAGGACACUUGAGCACUUGAAAGCUUGGAGGCAAAAACGUGUGGGCAAGUGUGGAGUGAAAGCUCUUGAGUUUGCUUGUAG
Molecule: long non-coding RNA, 6374 nt
Filed under: Zostera marina
Lineage: Eukaryota; Viridiplantae; Streptophyta; Magnoliopsida; Alismatales; Zosteraceae
Description: long non-coding RNA (ZMAR_LNC003799)
Source: RNAcentral